GGUAAAUAUUGUGAUCCAAUCAACAAGAGUAAGCUUGAUGUGCUGCAUGGUGGUAGGAUCUAGCUUUGAAUCCUUCAUACUGUCCUGAGCUAUUAUGGAAGGUGCAGCCCGUUGAUACAACUUCUGCCUUUUGCCACCCUUGACAAAAAAUUAAACGGUGCUGUUUUGCAUCUUCAGAAAUGUUCGUGCAAAACAGAAGGAAUUGUGUUGUGUAAUUGCAGUCAAGUGCAACGCA
Long non-coding RNA from Lolium rigidum, 235 nucleotides. RefSeq lists it as uncharacterized. The record is from RefSeq and is a predicted model, not a curated record. The transcript has 3 exons. NCBI's taxonomy places the organism in Eukaryota, Viridiplantae, Streptophyta, Magnoliopsida, Poales, Poaceae.